GUGGCUAAGGUUGCAGUUUGGUACCAGUCUAUGUUUUUUUAGAAUAAAUUCACAGAACCACAGGUUUUGAGGCAGUCUUCUCACCGAGCCUACACUUCCACUAAUUUGUCCACAAAACCAUAUGUUUUGUGUCAAAUUGUCUCAACUCGUCCAAAAUGAACGCUUACGCGAUUUUGACAGUAUUUCUUACUUGUGGGUCCCGCAUGUCUAGGUGCCACGUCUUUUUCAUUGAACCCCUCGUUUUUUUUGUUUUUUUUUCCUCAUCCACUUGUCUUCUUGUACGGUGGCAUCUUCUCCCGGUUCCUCUGCAACCUCUCACUCCCGGUGAGCAAGGGAGUGUGGGCAGGUUUCGCAAAGGCAGGAAGGGACGGAGGAGUGUGGCAGUGAAAGAGCGAGCAGGGCAUCAAGGCAGGCGGUGAGGGCGGGGCAGCAGAGCGUGCGGCGGUGGGGGCAGGCCAUGGUGGAGCCGGAGGAUGAGAAGCUCAUGUGCACGAUAUAUGCUGGACGCGGUGUUCCCGUCGGUGGGUAGGUUGGUGUCCACCAUGGCGAAGCAGUUGGCUGCCGGAGUCAUAGAAAAAGACGAGGUGAUGAGGAAAAAAAAAAGAAAAAGGAAAGGGGUCUAAUGCAAAAGACGUGACGCCUGACAUGCGGGGCCCACAUGUAAGAAAUACUGCCAAAAUCGCUUGAAUCGUUAUUUUGGGCGAUGUAGGACAAUUUGAAACAAACCCAGUGAUUCUCUGGACAAAUUAGCAAAAGUGGGGCUCGGUGAGAAGACUACCUCAAAACACGUGGUUCUGUGAAAUUUACACUUUUUGUACAAAAACCACCGAAUAACACUAAGUGUCUGGUUGCUAGUGAAUAACCCCGAAACUAACAGGUGGAUCCACCUAUCAGGCCAACGUGGCGUGCCAGGGGGCAACUAACUGAACCGAGUCGGCCAUCUCUUUCCUUUCGGAAGGAUCCUGCCUCUUUGUUCCGGUUUGUCUUGCACGAAGGAGGCUGACAGUUUGAUGAGCAUUACAAAAUUGCAUGAAGUUUUAGCGAUGAUGAAAGUGCAUGAAAGGCAGC
RNAcentral lists this long non-coding RNA (1068 nucleotides) under Brachypodium distachyon (stiff brome). RNAcentral's name for it is "long non-coding RNA (BDIS_LNC001408)". The record is from RNAcentral. Lineage: Eukaryota; Viridiplantae; Streptophyta; Magnoliopsida; Poales; Poaceae.